AUGAACGCUGGCGGCGUGCCUAAUACAUGCAAGUCGAGCGAACGGACGAGAAGCUUGCUUCUCUGAUGUUAGCGGCGGACGGGUGAGUAACACGUGGAUAACCUACCUAUGAGACUGGGAUAACUUCGGGAAACCGGAGCUAAUACCGGAUAAUAUUUUGAACCGCAUGGUUCAAAAGUGAAAGACGGUCUUGCUGUCACUUAUAGAUGGAUCCGCGCUGCAUUAGCUAGUUGGUAAGGUAACGGCUUACCAAGGCAACGAUGCAUAGCCGACCUGAGAGGGUGAUCGGCCACACUGGAACUGAGACACGGUCCAGACUCCUACGGGAGGCAGCAGUAGGGAAUCUUCCGCAAUGGGCGAAAGCCUGACGGAGCAACGCCGCGUGAGUGAUGAAGGUCUUCGGAUCGUAAAACUCUGUUAUUAGGGAAGAACAUAUGUGUAAGUAACUGUGCACAUCUUGACGGUACCUAAUCAGAAAGCCACGGCUAACUACGUG
RNAcentral lists this ribosomal RNA (496 nucleotides) under uncultured bacterium. Its description in RNAcentral is "partial 16S ribosomal RNA". It matches the Rfam family "Bacterial small subunit ribosomal RNA", at positions 29 to 507 of the family's 1533-position model. The record is from RNAcentral.